This 253-nucleotide ribosomal RNA is filed under the name uncultured bacterium. RNAcentral describes it as "partial 16S ribosomal RNA". It matches the Rfam family "Bacterial small subunit ribosomal RNA", at positions 524 to 776 of the family's 1533-position model. The record is from RNAcentral.
GACGUAGGGCGCGAGCGUUGUCCGGAUUUAUUGGGCGUAAAGAGCUCGUAGGCGGCUUGUCGCGUCGUCCGUGAAAACUUGGGGCUCAACCCCAAGCUUGCGGUCGAUACGGGCAGGCUAGAGUUCGGUAGGGGAGAGUGGAAUUCCUGGUGUAGCGGUGAAAUGCGCAGAUAUCAGGAGGAACACCGGUGGCGAAGGCGGGUCUCUGGGCCGCUACUGACGCUGAGGAGCGAAAGCGUGGGGAGCGAACCGG